UCAAUUGCCGGCGACCGGCGCACGGGUGCGUAACGCGUAUGUAACCUACCUAUAACAGGGGCAUAACACUGAGAAAUUGGUACUAAUUCCCCAUAAUAUUCGGAGAGGCAUCUCUCCGGGUUGAAAACUCCGGUGGUUAUAGAUGGACAUGCGUUGUAUUAGCUAGUUGGUGAGGUAACGGCUCACCAAGGCAACGAUACAUAGGGGGACUGAGAGGUUAACCCCCCACACUGGUACUGAGACACGGACCAGACUCCUACGGGAGGCAGCAGUGAGGAAUAUUGGUCAAUGGACGCAAGUCUGAACCAGCCAUGCCGCGUGCAGGAAGACGGCUCUAUGAGUUGUAAACUGCUUUUGUACGAGGGUAAACUCACCUACGUGUAGGUGACUGAAAGUAUCGUACGAAUAAGGAUCGGCUAACUCCGUGCCAGCAGCCGCGGUAAUACGGAGGAUUCAAGCGUUAUCCGGAUUUAUUGGGUUUAAAGGGUGCGUAGGCGGUUUGAUAAGUUAGAGGUGAAAUCCCGGGGCUUAACUCCGGAACUGCCUCUAAUACUGUUAGACUAGAGAGUAGUUGCGGUAGGCGGAAUGUAUGGUGUAGCGGUGAAAUGCUUAGAGAUCAUACAGAACACCGAUUGCGAAGGCAGCUUACCAA
This 652-nucleotide ribosomal RNA is filed under the name uncultured Bacteroidales bacterium. Its description in RNAcentral is "bacterial SSU rRNA". It matches the Rfam family "Bacterial small subunit ribosomal RNA", at positions 80 to 732 of the family's 1533-position model. The record is from RNAcentral. Lineage: Bacteria; Pseudomonadati; Bacteroidota; Bacteroidia; Bacteroidales.